UCAUCUUCCGAUAGAGGUAUCUCAGAGUAUGUUAUGUGCUCGUGGAUUUGCGGCAAGCUUUGAUGAUGAUUCAGUACUUUUGUAAAAUGAAGGCCUAAUUUUGUUCAUUAAUAAUGUUGAUGUGAAAGUUACAGUUGAUGUUGUGAACAUCGUAUUGUAUGCAAAACGUGUAUUAUAUGUUGCGUUUUCGUCAAAGACAAUGUAUAAUUUGCUUGUAUAUUAAUAAAGAGAGCCCUUUCUUUACAUUGUUACGUCUUAUAGUAAAUAUAUCUGUAUAAUUCAUUAUAUUCAUGCACCACUUUUAGCUGUAUUACACUAUUAGCACAUAUUUUACACUAUUAUUUCCGACGAUGUUGCACUUUUACAUUCAUAUUAUAAAAAAUUCAGAGAAAAUCUUACACUGUUUUUUGGCCACUUGCAGUACUUAGGAAACAAUGUUACAAAUAAUUUUAAAAAAGUUCUUG
Molecule: long non-coding RNA, 464 nt
Filed under: Ananas comosus (pineapple)
Lineage: Eukaryota; Viridiplantae; Streptophyta; Magnoliopsida; Poales; Bromeliaceae
Description: long non-coding RNA (ACOM_LNC013676)
Source: RNAcentral